RNAcentral lists this non-coding RNA (255 nucleotides) under Paenibacillus uliginis. RNAcentral's name for it is "T-box sequence". It matches the Rfam family "T-box leader". From Rfam's summary of the family: Uncharged tRNA acts as the effector for transcription antitermination of genes in the T-box leader family. T-boxes are found upstream of many aminoacyl-tRNA synthetase genes and some amino acid biosynthetic genes usually in Gram-positive bacteria. Lineage: Bacteria; Bacillati; Bacillota; Bacilli; Caryophanales; Paenibacillaceae. The record is from RNAcentral.
UUAAACGCAACGAUGAGAAGAGUAGGGAAAAACGUUCUUGUACAGAGAGCUCCGGCAGCUGAAAAGGAGCAAAGAGCCCUUACCCGAAACAAGCCUCUGAGCAGCAUGUCGGAACCGUGAGCGGGGAUGGCGUGACGGGAGCUCCCGUUAUAGAGCUAGAGUAUAAACAUUGCCUGCAAUGUCGUACUUGAUGAGGUUAAUAUGGCGACAUAUUAAUGAAGCUGGGGUGGUACCGCGAAAAAUUUCGUCCCCAAG